UGUUGUUCUGUUGUUCGAUUGGUUCCAAUUGGUUGUGGGUUUCGUCUCAGUUGAUGACGGCUUAAGCUCGAGGGUGGUCCUACGGCUUAAGCUCGAGGGUUGUGAGUUAUCAAACCGAUGGCUUAAGCUCGAGGGUUGUGGAUUUAUCUUUUUUUUUUUUUUUGUUUUUUUAUCUUUUUUUUUGUUUACUUCAAGUGUUGUUCAAUCUCCACCUCUAAAUGGAGAUCUAAAUGUUAGAUCUGGAUUUCUAGAAUCUUAGAGAAUAUUUUUGUGGAUUUAUAAGAAAAGGAGGGCCGUUUGGAGCACCCGAUUUCUGUCAAACAUAUAGAUGGGUUUGAGCUAUGGCUACGCUAUUUUAUUCUUUAUGUUCUCUUCUGCUUAUCAAUUUUAUUCUUUGUGGGUCAGAUCUGUGCUAGCAUACGUAUUUUUUGUUAGUCAAUAUUUUUUUGUGUUGAUCCUCUUGUUGGUAGAUGCCUUAGGAUCUUCUAUUACUUGGGUCUUCACUGAAUGAUGCUUAUUUGCUGUAAUAUUGAGGGUAAUGCCCUUGAACCUACGAAACAUGCUGAAUAUCAUAUGAUUCUUUGUUGAACUGGAUUGUUUUGUUAGUAUAGAAGUAAUGGGAGUAUAUUGUUGAAAGUAUAACAUUUGUGUAGAAAAUGAAAAGGGGAAGAAUCUUUGGUAGAUCUGGGUUUCUUGUGAUUUUGUUAAACACGUAUAAAGUAUAAGCUGUUAUUUUGAUUGAUCUGGGUUUUUUUUUUUUUUUUUUUUUUUUUCUGUUAAACAUGGGUAUAAAGAGAGUGGGGUUUUUUUUUUUUUGGGUUGUUUUUUGAAUCGUGGAGAUGUUUUAGGAAAGGAAAACAGAUUCUCAGGAAAGGUUGAGCAAAUUAAGUCCUUUCAGAUUCCCCCCCACUUCUGGAAUUUCUCCAUCAAAUCUGUUGUUCGAGAGAUCAAUAACUACUAAGAAAUCAGGGACUCUAUCAUAUAGUGUAUCCAUGCCUUUGAUGAUCAUUGUCAUUGAGUAAGAGUGGCGACGGCUCAUUCUUUCUCCUUCAAGUGUCACUACAGUAUGGCUUUCCUCCACGUACUUUAAGCUCUCAGCAUCGACGAUUUGAGAGAUGAAGUUAUAAAAGGAUGGGAUGAAGGGGUCGCGACCAUGAAGAAGGGUGAGAGAGCAAUCUUCACAAUACCACCAAACUUAGCCUAUGGGGAACUCGGCUCUCCACCCCUGAUUUCUCCCAAUUCAAUUCUCAUUUUUGAUAUUGAAAUGUUGUAUUGACCACUAUCAGAGACAUAACUGGUGAUCAAGUGCUAGGUAAUAUUGACAGUGUUAGGAGAGUUUUUCUUUUGUUAAACAUGAAAAACAGAAACUAAAAUACAGUAAUGCAUCAUUGAAGUUGUUUUGAUAAGAACAAACUACAAUCUUGCUAAGCUUUGCUAUUAACUUGUUAACAAACCCCAAGUUGCUGUUUUAGCUUGGAAGGAUGAUGGUCUGUAGUUCCUAUCUUCAUUGUAUAUAUCAGUGUGAAGCUUUUGGAA
Long non-coding RNA from Carya illinoinensis, 1536 nucleotides. RefSeq lists it as uncharacterized. Lineage: Eukaryota; Viridiplantae; Streptophyta; Magnoliopsida; Fagales; Juglandaceae. The transcript is spliced from 2 exons. The record is from RefSeq and is a predicted model, not a curated record.